RNAcentral lists this ribosomal RNA (254 nucleotides) under uncultured bacterium. Its description in RNAcentral is "partial 16S ribosomal RNA". It matches the Rfam family "Bacterial small subunit ribosomal RNA", at positions 524 to 776 of the family's 1533-position model. The record is from RNAcentral.
UACGUAGGGGGCAAGCGUUGUCCGGAAUCAUUGGGCGUAAAGCGCGUGUAGGCGGCUCGAUAAGUCUGCUGUGAAAGUUCAGGGCUCAACCCUGAAAUGCCGGUGGAAACUGUCGGGCUAGAGUCCGGAAGAGGCGAGUGGAAUUCCUGGUGUAGCGGUGAAAUGCGCAGAUAUCAGGAGGAGCACCAAUGGCGAAGGCAGCUCGCUGGGACGGUACUGACGCUGAGACGCGAAAGCGUGGGGGAGCAAACAGG